Molecule: ribosomal RNA, 303 nt
Filed under: uncultured bacterium
Lineage: Bacteria
Description: partial 16S ribosomal RNA
Rfam family: Bacterial small subunit ribosomal RNA
Source: RNAcentral
AGCAGUCGCCGCGGUAAUACGAAGGGUGCAAGCGUUAAUCGGAAUUACUGGGCGUAAAGCGUGCGUAGGCGGUGAGUUAAGUCUGCUGUGAAAUCCCCGGGCUCAACCUGGGAAUGGCAGUGGAUACUGGCUCGCUAGAGUGUGUCAGAGGAUGGUGGAAUUCCCGGUGUAGCGGUGAAAUGCGUAGAGAUCGGGAGGAACAUCAGUGGCGAAGGCGGCCAUCUGGGACAACACUGACGCUGAGGCACGAAAGCGUGGGGAGCAAACAGGAUUAGAUACCCCAGUAGUCCCUGUCUCUUAUAC